Molecule: ribosomal RNA, 301 nt
Filed under: uncultured bacterium
Lineage: Bacteria
Description: partial 16S ribosomal RNA
Rfam family: Bacterial small subunit ribosomal RNA
Source: RNAcentral
CAGUAGCCGCGGUAAUACGAAGGGUGCAAGCGUUAAUCGGAAUUACUGGGCGUAAAGCGUUCGUAGGCGGUUUGUUAAGUCUGCUGUGAAAUCCCCGGGCUCAACCUGGGAAUGGCAGUGGAUACUGGCAAGCUAGAGUGUGUCAGAGGAUGGUGGAAUUCCCGGUGUAGCGGUGAAAUGCGUAGAGAUCGGGAGGAACAUCAGUGGCGAAGGCGGCCAUCUGGGACAACACUGACGCUGAGGCACGAAAGCGUGGGGAGCAAACAGGAUUAGAUACCCCGGUAGUCCCUGUCUCUUAUAC